This 3430-nucleotide long non-coding RNA is filed under the name Daucus carota (carrot). RNAcentral describes it as "long non-coding RNA (DCAR_LNC001205)". The record is from RNAcentral. Lineage: Eukaryota; Viridiplantae; Streptophyta; Magnoliopsida; Apiales; Apiaceae.
GUGACACCCUCAGAUCCGGGGGUCUGGAUCUGGUGCCACGUGUAAAUAAAAAUAAUUUAAAACCUGUAGUUUUGAGCCACUGAAAGAAAAACAAUUUAAAACCUGUAUUUUUGGAAGAAAGUAAAAACAAGUAUUUCUAAACCUGGAUAUUAUUUUUUUUUUUAAAAGAAGGUCUUUAAUUCAAAAUCAAUUUCACCCCCUGAAAACAGGAUCGCACACAGGCUACAGCAUUGAAAUCAGAAACUAAAACUAUAAAAUCUUAUUUACAAAUUAAACAACAUUAUCAGCUAAACCUCGAUAAGAAGAGUAGCUGAUAACCAAAUAAACAAAUCUAAUUUCCAACUGAAUUGAAUUGCAGAACUCCAACUGCAUCUAGUCUUAAUGACAUCGUCCUAAAUACUCUACCUGUCCAUCUGCUUGAAACUCAACCACUUGCAAUCCUUGCCUAGUCUUAAGUGAAUCAUCUUUAUUCCUAGCUGAAAAGGGUUAGAAGGAAUAGCAAGAAUGAGCAAUAAUGCUCAGCAAGAAUAACAAAAUGAAAUUGAUAUUUGUUGUACAGCAAUGCCAUAAUAAAGAAGUGAAAAUAUUUAAAACUGCAGAAAUGAAUGUAUAAGCAAAUAUCUCUUGAAGGCAGGGUAACUUCUUUUUAAACUAUUCACAAUUUUAUUGGGCUUUAAAAAUAAUUGGACACCUGGCUAUAACAGAUGAUCAGUCAUGCUAUAGUCCAUAAACCAAGCUUAUUCAGCAAGGUUGACAAAUAUUACGAAUUCCGGUAAUCCGGGCUUAAGGAGCCACCUUUCACGCUGGGCCGGUGCCCGAGCCUCUUACGCAAAAACAACCCAAUAGUUUAAUUUUUAAAACAAUCUGCAGUUCCAUCAUGUAAUUCAAGAGCCAGAAUAACAUUUUGUUAAAACAAUUUCUUUAUGCAUAUCAUAGUGUAGAGUUGAUACCAAAAGUGUUAUCCGUUCAACCAAAAAGUUUAAAAGUACUAGAUAUGCUUCACAAGAAAGUAAUUGCAAAUAAUUUGAAUCAUGAUAUAAAGAAGGUUUUAGUAUCUAUAGGUACUAGAGGAGUAGGGUAGAAAUACUUGCUUCUAAAUUGCGAGAGAAGGUAGAAGUACUUGCCUUAACUCCAAAGUUUAGCUCAGAUUCCUAGUAACACUAUAUACCGCAUAAUCAUUCCUUUCUGCCAGCUUCUGACACACUUUUAUCUAUAACAAAUCUCCGUCCUACUUCAACUUGUAACAUUCUGCUUGGCUAUUUCUGAAUACCCCUUUCAAUCACUUCUCGAUUAAUGCCUCGGUCAAUGUCUUCAAUUCUAUACGAUGAUAAAAUAGUAUUUCAGUCGUCGGAUUAGACAUAUUGACUAACCCUGAAUUGCAUUAAGACCUAUAUAUAUAUCUACCCUUCGCAUAUACAUACCACAGUCACAUAAACACAUAGCACAUAGUUGUACAAACAACCCUUUUUAUAGGCAUUAAAUCCAUAUAAUUUCUAACGAAAAUUCGGCAGCAUCUCCUCUGUUUAUAAGCUUAUCCACCUGUUUGCAAUGCCAACAACCAACCAAUACUAUUGCUAACACAUGAAUUAUUAAUAUAAAAAGAUCCCUUGACUUGCAGUAAACACAUAAGAAAAUCUGUCUUGACUUGUAGUAAACAUAUAAUAAAAUCUUUUAGCAGGAUUGCUAACUUGUUAUACGCAAAACACUUUUAAUUAGAUAUACAAGGUUAACCGAGCCAAUCAAUGUAAUAAUCAAUCAUAUGCAAUUAGUCAAGUAUAACCUCAUACUAUGCACUAGCAAAGAAAGAAAAAUAGAACAAAUAGUUCAAACAGCCCUCGGUCUAUGAUUUUUAAUAAAUUGAAAAUUUAUCUUUUUAAUACGAAAUUUUUAUGAGACACUCCUAAAUAUUAUUCCAACCUACAGUAAAAUUUUCAGAAAGAAAAUCCAAGUUUAAAGCUGUAAAACAGAGCCUGGAACAGGACAACCCUGCCCAGAAUUUUCAGCACCAUACUAUACUAAAACGGUCAUAUCUCCUAGCUCGCUAAUCGAAUCGCUUCGAUUCUUUCACGCACAUAAACUAGACUCUGAGGAGCACAUAACCACACAAAGAUUAAGCAUAUAAUUCAAAUCUAUGAUCCCAGAGUUGUAAUUCAAAACAGAUCAACAGCAAUCUAGAAUUCAACCGAAUAUGUGUAAAUCAAAAUUUUUUUUAGCCCAAUACUUAAACUCUUAAAACACCACUUUGAAAACAUUUACAAAAAAUCUCAGACCUUAAAGCUUGAAUACUCAGUUAUAUAUUCCCAUAAUUCAAGUACCCAAGUCAUCCGAUUACACUACUAGUUGGCGCACUAUUUAUAAUCAACUUACAACAACCAGUUCAAAUAUCAAUUAAGCACACAAUUCAAUCAUACAAUUACUAACACCAAUCUCAAUCUCAGAAAUUCAAUCAACCUUCAAUUACAAGCAUAUAAUCAGUUUAUAUACAUACAAACACAUAUAAAUCAGAUUAUACACACAUAAAUCAGAUUAUACACGUAUAAACACCGUUCACCCGAUUAUAAUUUCGAUUAUCCGACAUGUAAAUACACGCAUAUAUAUACACUGAUUCAACAAGGGAAACUAAACUUUAUACCCAUUGAUAUUCGAAUAGCAGGUGCGAUGGAGUGACUCGCCAAAACACAGGCGGCGACUCAAGCUCGGCGGCGGUAAUCCGGCCAGAGAUUGGCGGCCGUGGUUGAGGAAAGAAGAAAGAGCAAAUAGCGGAGAGAUUGCUUUUUGUGGAAAAAGAAAGAACAAGGGUAAAAGGAAUGGAGGAGAAAUACGCGAGAGAGAGUGAGAACGGGAGAUUUAAAGGAAUGAGAGGGGUGAGAUUUGUUUUGUAAUAAAGCGAGGAAGGUCGGCAAAACCAGGGCGGUGAUGAAAAGGGUACGUGGUUAAGUCUUGUACUUCCACGUGCCUUUAAUAAUCUGAAUAAACAAUUGACUCGGACCCGCUUUUAACUAAAUUAUCGGAAUAUCUCGCUAUUUUAUAAUCUAGGAAACAUCAUCAAAAUAAUUUUAUAAAUCCCGGACUAUCAUAAAACUAAUCAAAUAAAAGUUUCGGGAUUUAUAGAGCAUUUUCAAAAUGUAUACAAAAUUUAGAAGUUAGUUGCGUUCAGAAACUAAUUAAAAAUCAUGUUCUUAUAGAAAUUAGAUUUUUAAUAUUUUAAAAACUCCUAAAAUAUUUAUGUUCACUAUCGAGCAAUUAAAAUAAUUUUUCAAAUUAUCUUUAUGUUUUUAUAAAAAUAAAGAUCCAUUUAAAAGAGUAACAAAUUUAAUAAAUUAAUAUAAUAAUAUUAGAAGUGGAAAUAAAUGCACACACAGACAUAAUCUUAAACAAAUAAUAAUUCAAUUAAAUCUCGUAACAGAUAAUUGCACGAUUGAUAGAUAUU